UUUGAUCCUGGCUCAGGAUGAACGCUAGCGGCAGGCCUAAUACAUGCAAGUCGAACGGUAAAUGUCCCUUCGGGGGACAUGAGAGUGGCGCACGGGUGCGUAACGCGUAUGCAACCCACCCGCUGUCGGGGGAUAGCCCGGAGAAAUUCGAAUUAAUACCCCAUGAGGAGCAGAUGUGGCAUCACAAUUGUUUCAAAACUACGGUGACGGCGGACGGGCAUGCGUGCCAUUAGAUAGUUGGCGGGUAACGGCCCACCAAGUCGACGAUGGCUAGGGGAUCUGAGAGGACGGUCCCCCACACUGGUACUGAGACACGGACCAGACUCCUACGGGAGGCAGCAGUGAGGAAUAUUGGUCAAUGGGCGAGAGCCUGAACCAGCCAAGUAGCGUGCAGGAUGACGGCCCUACGGGUUGUAAACUGCUUUUUCCGGGGAAUAACCGGCGGCACGUGUGCCGCCCUGCAUGUACCCGGUGAAUAAGGACCGGCUAAUUCCGUGCC
RNAcentral lists this ribosomal RNA (499 nucleotides) under uncultured bacterium. Its description in RNAcentral is "bacterial SSU rRNA". It matches the Rfam family "Bacterial small subunit ribosomal RNA", at positions 12 to 509 of the family's 1533-position model. The record is from RNAcentral.